AGUCACCCUGCUGAUGAACAGGUCCCCGUAGUUAAACGGAUAUAACAAGCCCCUCCUAAGGGCUAGUUACUG
RNAcentral lists this transfer RNA (72 nucleotides) under Yersinia enterocolitica (type O:5,27) str. YE149/02. Its description in RNAcentral is "transfer RNA-Arg". The record is from RNAcentral. Lineage: Bacteria; Pseudomonadati; Pseudomonadota; Gammaproteobacteria; Enterobacterales; Yersiniaceae.